UUGGGGAAACAGAGCAUACAAUUUCAGAGCUGAGAGGGACUUUAAACCAUGGAACAGAAAAUGUUUAAGCUGAGAAGAGUCUUAGGAUAGAGAACAAAGAAUGUCAGACCCUAGCGGAAGAGAAAGAUUUCUUAGGAUAACCCGUCAUUUGCUACAAUCAAGCCUUGAAAGAGGAAAUAUCUUGCCCAAGGAAACACAACAGUCUAGAGAUGAAGAAGCAGAAGAAGAAGAAGAGGAAGAAGAGGAAGAGGAGGAGGAGGAGAAAGAAGAGGAAGAGGAGGA
Sarcophilus harrisii (Tasmanian devil) is the source of this 282-nucleotide long non-coding RNA. RefSeq lists it as uncharacterized. NCBI's taxonomy places the organism in Eukaryota, Metazoa, Chordata, Mammalia, Dasyuromorphia, Dasyuridae. The record is from RefSeq and is a predicted model, not a curated record. The transcript has 2 exons.